This 143-nucleotide small nuclear RNA is filed under the name Sinocyclocheilus grahami. Its description in RNAcentral is "U1 spliceosomal RNA (ENSSGRG00000029943.1)". It matches the Rfam family "U1 spliceosomal RNA". From Rfam's summary of the family: U1 is a small nuclear RNA (snRNA) component of the spliceosome (involved in pre-mRNA splicing). Its 5' end forms complementary base pairs with the 5' splice junction, thus defining the 5' donor site of an intron. The record is from RNAcentral. Lineage: Eukaryota; Metazoa; Chordata; Actinopteri; Cypriniformes; Cyprinidae.
GGUCUGACGAGGCUGGUGUUUUUUCAGUGACAACCUGGCUAGGCCAUUGCACUCCGGCCGUGCAGACGCACAAAUUCCCCAAAUGUGGGAAUCUCGACUGCAUAAUUUAUGAUAGUGGGGGACUGUGUUUGCGCUCUCCCCUG